UGGGGCUAUCCCUGAAUGGGGUGGCUAUUGAUAUGAAGAAGGCUCCCCAUAGUGUAGUUAGGACCACAUAUUUUGGAGGGAUAGUUAGAAGAGAUGCAUUGGAAGAUAGGAUCAAAGAAUUAUUGUCUAAUUCUUUUUCCAAUGGCAUCCGAUCAAUGGUGCAAUUGCUUGUUUCAUACCUUUUGGAUACAAUUUUGUCUCCUUUGUUGAAUCUUAGCAUUGCAUUGUAGAUCUUC
This 236-nucleotide long non-coding RNA is filed under the name Elaeis guineensis (African oil palm). Its description in RNAcentral is "long non-coding RNA (EGUI_LNC021144)". Lineage: Eukaryota; Viridiplantae; Streptophyta; Magnoliopsida; Arecales; Arecaceae. The record is from RNAcentral.